AGGCACGUAGCUCAGCGGGAGAGCACUACCUUGACACGGUAGGGGUCGGCGGUUCGAAACCGCCCGUGCCUA
This 72-nucleotide transfer RNA is filed under the name Deltaproteobacteria bacterium. Its description in RNAcentral is "tRNA-Val". It matches the Rfam family "tRNA". From Rfam's summary of the family: Transfer RNA (tRNA) molecules are approximately 80 nucleotides in length. Their secondary structure includes four short double-helical elements and three loops (D, anti-codon, and T loops). Further hydrogen bonds mediate the characteristic L-shaped molecular structure. tRNAs have two regions of fundamental functional importance: the anti-codon, which is responsible for specific mRNA codon recognition, and the 3' end, to which the tRNAs corresponding amino acid is attached (by aminoacyl-tRNA synthetases). tRNAs cope with the degeneracy of the genetic code in two manners: having more than one tRNA (with a specific anti-codon) for a particular amino acid; and 'wobble' base-pairing, i.e. permitting non-standard base-pairing at the 3rd anti-codon position. The record is from RNAcentral. RNAcentral also lists the same sequence under 2 other names. Lineage: Bacteria; Pseudomonadati; Myxococcota; Myxococcia.